AUGUGCCAUGCGCACACUGCGGCUGCGCCGCGCCGCCCACACCCACCUGACGACUGCUCGCAAUGUUUUGUUGGCC
Molecule: small RNA, 76 nt
Filed under: Xanthomonas fragariae
Lineage: Bacteria; Pseudomonadati; Pseudomonadota; Gammaproteobacteria; Lysobacterales; Lysobacteraceae
Description: sX9 sRNA
Rfam family: Xanthomonas sRNA sX9
Source: RNAcentral